GUAUUGGGAAGGCAGAUAAAAUGCCAGGUCUGGACUGCCUCUGGGGAUAACCUCACCCUGUGGGAUGUGAAUGAAUAGCAUCUUGCCUGGUAAAUCCACAGGAAUUGAUAAGGCGGGCGCAGUUCUCCCAAACAGGCCUUUUCUCUUUAAGCUCUAGCUGUGGUUUCUGCAGCAAUUUUGUUUUUGCCUUGAAAGAGGUGCUCUGGAUUAUCAGACCUCCAUGUAUGACAAUUUGUACCUGCAUGGAAUUGAAGACUCGGAGGCUGGUUCAGCGGAUUCCUACACAAGCAGGCCGUCUGACUCCGAUGUCUCUUUGGAAGAGGACCGGGAAGCAAUUCGACAGGAGAGAGAACAGCAAGCAGCUAUCCAGCUUGAGAGAGCAAAGUCCAAACCUGUAGCAUUUGCCGUGAAGACAAAUGUGAGCUACUGCGGCGCCCUGGACGAGGAUGUGCCUGUUCCAAGCACAGCUAUUUCCUUUGAUGCUAAAGACUUUCUACAUAUUAAAGAGAAAUAUAACAAUGAUUGGUGGAUAGGAAGGCUAGUGAAAGAGGGCUGUGAAAUUGGCUUCAUUCCAAGCCCACUCAGAUUGGAGAACAUACGGAUUCAGCAAGAACAAAAAAGAGGACGUUUUCAUGGAGGGAAAUCAAGUGGAAAUUCUUCUUCAAGUCUUGGAGAAAUGGUAUCUGGGACAUUUCGAGCAACUCCCACAUCAACAGCAAAACAGAAGCAAAAAGUGACGGAGCACAUUCCUCCUUAUGAUGUUGUGCCGUCAAUGCGUCCGGUGGUGUUAGUGGGGCCGUCACUGAAAGGUUACGAGGUACAAAUAUCAUCUGUUACUCUUCAGUUCUUGAUCGAGCACCCAGGAGACAGUCAUGUUGAUGCUUGCUCCUCAAGGGUCUGUUUCCACGUGGGUUCUGAUGGAAGCCAGUGCUCAGCAUGGGAAGGCAAUGGGUAUCGUGUGGGGCUCAUGAGGCCCUCUGCCCUUUCUUUCCUCUCUUGCACACUUCUCAUCUUUUAUGAAUUACAUUGUUUAGAAAUACCUCCCUCAAAAUAUUUACAAUGGGAAGAUCUGGUCAAAGAUUUGCUAUACAUUAAAUGCAAAGAAAAGGACUUUAUCUCUCUUGACCAUUCUCAUUAUUAUUAGAAGUAAUAGAGAAUGAACAGCACAAGAGGACAAACAAUCAAUCUUCCAGCAAACGCAAACCUUUAAAGCCCAGAGUUCACCCUGCUGGGUUUUUAAGAUGAUGGCAUAUGCCACCAAAUCCUUCUCUCCUUAUUUAUUUUAAAGGGCACAUGUUUUAAAAGACCACUAAAAACAUUAGUGAACUUUGGAGAUUAAACAAAACCAUGUGACAAGGAAAAGAGUAGAGACUUCGUUUCAGAUGUUUGUUUUGACUUUGUGCUAGCAUGGAUUAAAAAAUAGGUAGAUGUGACAUUAAACUCUGAAAGUGAGCAGCCUCCAGGGCACCAUUCCCGUCGAGCUAGGACAAUGUGUGGCACAUAGUAGGCACUCAGUACACAUUUGCUGAAUGAAUUAAUGAAUCUCUUUCAGGCAGAUCUAAGAAUCCUUGCUCUAUCCCCCUCUUUCUCUCUUGUCUUUCUCAGAGUUGGAAAUGUCAGAGGGAUGAGCAGGAGAGUGGUCUACAAAAAUCCAGCCAUGGGCAUGGAGAAUUUCUGCCAACAUACACAAACUAGCAGGAAGGCUGAGUCCAGUGCUGGCCUCAGUUCUCUAGCUGCUCCUCACUGAAGGCAGGCACAACUCAGGCGUGCCAAGGAUACCCAGCACCUGUGUACAAAGCCAGCCUGUUGUCUCCUGGCAGCAGUUCUAUCCCCUAACGAGGGAAGAGGGAAGAGGGUCUGGUGAACACUGCUGGUUUAUUCCUCAACACCCUGGAGGAGAACCAAGGGGGGUGGAAAUUAGCAAUUGCACAUGGUUAAGCAUGAAAAACACCUUCCAUGGUAACCUACCCCUAGGAGACGAAUGGCUGCAAUAAGGUCUUGGCUCAUAGUGCCCUUCCCUCCCUCCUCUCUCACUUUUGACUUCUCUCUCUCUCUCUCUGCGUGUGUUUGCCUCAUUCUUUUUUUCUCACCUCUGCAAAGGUAACAGACAUGAUGCAGAAAGCCCUCUUUGAUUUCCUGAAGCACAGGUUUGAUGGGAGGAUAUCAAUAACGAGAGUGACAGCUGACAUUUCUCUUGCUAAGAGGUCUGUCCUAAAUAAUCCCAGCAAGAGAGCAAUAAUUGAACGUUCGAACACCCGGUCCAGCUUAGCGGAAGUACAAAGUGAAAUUGAAAGAAUCUUUGAGUUGGCAAGAUCUUUGCAACUGGUUGUUCUUGAUGCAGACACCAUCAAUCACCCAGCACAACUUAUAAAGACUUCCUUAGCACCAAUUAUUGUUCAUGUAAAAGUCUCAUCUCCAAAGGAAAUGUUUGAUGUUAUAUUGGAUGAAAAUCAGCUUGAGGACGCGUGUGAACAUCUAGGGGAGUACCUGGAGGCGUACUGGCGUGCCACCCACACAACCAGUAGCACACCCAUGACCCCACUGCUGGGAAGGAAUUUGGGCUCCACAGCACUUUCACCAUAUCCCACAGCAAUUUCUGGGUUACAGAGUCAGCGAAUGAGGCACAGCAACCACUCCACAGAGAACUCUCCAAUUGAAAGACGAAGUCUAAUGACCUCUGAUGAAAAUUAUCACAAUGAAAGGGCUCGGAAGAGUAGGAACCGCUUGUCUUCCAGUUCUCAGCAUAGCCGAGAUCAUUACCCUCUUGUGGAAGAAGAUUACCCUGACUCAUACCAGGACACUUACAAACCCCAUAGGAACCGAGGAUCACCUGGGGGAUAUAGCCAUGACUCCCGACAUAGGCUUUGAGUCUAAUGAAACAAAAAAUAUUCAUCUGUUGACAAUUUGCCAUAGCAGUGCUAGGAUAAACCAAUCAUCUUAACU
This 2943-nucleotide small RNA is filed under the name Pongo abelii (Sumatran orangutan). Its description in RNAcentral is "retained intron". Lineage: Eukaryota; Metazoa; Chordata; Mammalia; Primates; Hominidae. The record is from RNAcentral.